UAUAUACUGUCUCAUAUAUAUAUUUACGAAUUUAAAAUUUUAAUAAAAAUGUUAAAAUUUAUUUAUGGGACGAUAAGACCCUAUAGAAUUUUAUAUUAAUUUAUUUAUUUACUUAAUAAAUAAUUUAAAUUAAUAUUUAAUUGGGAGGAUUAUUAAAUUUAAAAAACUUUAAUUUAUAUAAACUUUAAUUAAAGAAAAUAUUAUGAUCUUGAAUUUUAAAUUAUUAGAAUAAAUUACCUUAGGGAUAACAGCGUAAUAUUUUUUUAUAGAUCUUAUAGAAAAAAAUGAUUGCGACCUCGAUGUUGAAUUAAGA
RNAcentral lists this ribosomal RNA (313 nucleotides) under Austroplebeia sp. intermed_S2. RNAcentral's name for it is "partial 16S ribosomal RNA". Lineage: Eukaryota; Metazoa; Arthropoda; Insecta; Hymenoptera; Apidae. RNAcentral also lists the same sequence under 4 other names. The record is from RNAcentral.